AUGAGGAGUGCUCAUAAAAAAUUAAAAAAAUGGAUCCAAAUAUCUUUGAUUCACGUGAUUCAAAUGGUUCAAUUUAAAUUGGGUAAACAGAUAAAAGUAAAGAUGUCUUUAAAAUUAAGCUUAUAAGUUUUUCUAGGUGUUCAAAAAGACCCUAAUAAAAUGUUGAUAUCUAUAAAAUAAUCUGCUUAAAUUCAGAAAUUUACAGAUAUUGUUUCAAAAUGUGAACAGAAGGAGGUUAACAGAUGGAAAAGAGAAACUAAAAGGUUCUAGAUAUGGAUUUAAUAGAGGGAAAAUGUGUUUCUGGAUAAGAGAGUCUAUGUGAUUAAGUAAUUAAGAGGGUUUAAGUAAGUGAUAAAAAAGGUUUGUGUAAGCUGG
This 375-nucleotide long non-coding RNA is filed under the name Marmota monax (woodchuck). The record is from RNAcentral. Lineage: Eukaryota; Metazoa; Chordata; Mammalia; Rodentia; Sciuridae.